GUCAAUAAUAGCAUUCACCUGCAGAUGCACCUGCACCUUGUUCUUGUUUAUGUUACAUUGCAGGGAAUAAACCAAGCAAAGUGCAGCUGCAAAUGCAGAUAAAGGCGAUAUAUUGGC
RNAcentral lists this microRNA precursor (117 nucleotides) under Cajanus cajan (pigeon pea). RNAcentral's name for it is "miRNA gene-KK1_026307". Lineage: Eukaryota; Viridiplantae; Streptophyta; Magnoliopsida; Fabales; Fabaceae. The record is from RNAcentral.